AGAGUUGAAUGAGCAAAAAAGGUGAAAACUUGAAGCAUCAACUUGAUUCUGUCAACUACAAAAGAUAGACAAUGAUAAUGAAGUUGGGUUAAAAAUGAUGGCGAAAUGAAUUGGGAAGCAAGUCGAGUAAAGGAAACGGGAAUUCAUUGAGAGGAAACAAAUGGAUGAAAAGGAGUGACAUUAGAAGGAAGUUAGUUGAGUAGUUGGAAGAAUGGAAGAAGAUGAUGAUAAUGAUGAAGAGUGGCGACACAUCAGUUGGAUUAGAGUAACAAAGGAUUGAUUGAAAAUGAGUGAUGAACAAGUGAAAACAUUUCGCAUGGGACUUUGACUUAGGAUUGGAUAUUAUUUGGGGAUAAAAACAAGACCGAGGAUUGAAAGGGAUGAAAGUGAAAAAUGAGAGUUUCAAAGUUGGUCAGAAAAAAGAUGAAAUGGGAAAUCUGGUUUAGAUUGGGUAAAGUAGUAAAAAAAGAGAAGGAAAAGUGAAAUGUUUCCUUUGAGAUUUGCUCAUGAAAUGGCAAAUUCAGAGUUGAUUGAGAAACAGUCAAAGAUGAUCAAAGAUGAUAAUAUUUUUACAACCUUUUUUGCUUCCUUUUUUAGCUUAUUUUUUUGACUAAUAUUGUCACUCGAUUCUGGUUAGCAAUUGAUUAGAGGUUUAUUUUGUUUACUGUUUACUGACAAUCAUUUAUUUGUAACAUUUUGUUGGAAAAUAAUUUUACUAAAUUGUUUCAUUUUGAUUACUUACGGUGAUUGGACAAAGGCAUAUUCAUUGAUGGUUUCAAGAAUAUCUUGAAGGGGAACUUUAGUUGUUAAAGUGUUUCC
This is a long non-coding RNA of Tetranychus urticae (two-spotted spider mite), 819 nucleotides long. RefSeq lists it as uncharacterized. The record is from RefSeq and is a predicted model, not a curated record. NCBI's taxonomy places the organism in Eukaryota, Metazoa, Arthropoda, Arachnida, Trombidiformes, Tetranychidae.